CACCAUCCAAGCCACCCUCUUCCUGGUUAACAAGUGACUGUGGUUUCUCUGUCGAUGACAGCUGUAACCUUGCUCCUGCCUGUCCCACCUAGAGACAAGCUGCAGGAAGACACCUUGUCUUGGAUUCACCCUGGCUCCCCAGUAGCAUCUAUCUCACUGCCUGACUCCACAUUUGUGAACCUCCCUCAAAGCAGAGAACGGGAGGUCCAGCUUUAUGUUUUUCUACCAUGUCUUGCAGUUUGCUGUGGUUUGUUCUGGGGGAAAAACAGAAGCAAUGGAGAGCCCCAGGAGGCUUCCAAGGGAGAGACACAGUGCCAGCGUUUGGAAAAAAGAUCAUUCUUCUUGUGCACGCAAGGCCCCUCUGAACUGCUCUGGACGAUUUAUUCUGCACUGGACCACUGUGACCUGGACUGCACUUCUGGGAAACCUCUUACCUCGAGAAAGAAAGAAAGAAAGAAAAAAGCCUGUCAGAUCAUGCUCUGAAUAAUAACCUUGUUGGAAAAAAAGACAAAUAUGCAAUAGGAAAAAGACUGAUUCCCCCC
Molecule: non-coding RNA, 542 nt
Organism: Heterocephalus glaber (naked mole-rat)
Lineage: Eukaryota; Metazoa; Chordata; Mammalia; Rodentia; Bathyergidae
Source: RefSeq, a predicted model, not a curated record